RNAcentral lists this ribosomal RNA (424 nucleotides) under uncultured bacterium. Its description in RNAcentral is "partial 16S ribosomal RNA". It matches the Rfam family "Bacterial small subunit ribosomal RNA", at positions 360 to 776 of the family's 1533-position model. The record is from RNAcentral.
AAUAUUGGACAAUGGGCGAAAGCCUGAUCCAGCCAUGCCGCGUGUGUGAAGAAUGUCUUCGGAUUGUAAAGCACUUUAAGUUGGGAGGAAGGGGUUGAAGCUAAUACCUUCAAUCUUUGACGUUACCAACAGAAUAAGCACCGGCUAACUCUGUGCCAGCCGCCGCGGUAAUACGAAGGGUGCAAGCGUUAAUCGGAAUUACUGGGCGUAAAGCGCGCGUAGGUGGUUCGUUAAGUUGGAAGUGAAAGCCCCGGGCUUAACCUGGGAAUUGCUUUCAAAACUGACGAGCUAGAGUACGGUAGAGGGUAGUGGAAUUUCCUGUGUAGCGGUGAAAUGCGUAGAUAUAUGGAGGAACACCAGUGGCGAAAGCGGCUACCUGGCCUGUAACUGACGCUCAUGCACGAAAGCGUGGGGAGCAAAUAGG